This 2336-nucleotide long non-coding RNA is filed under the name Apteryx haastii (Great spotted kiwi). RNAcentral describes it as "lncRNA (ENSAHAG00000006726.1)". The record is from RNAcentral. Lineage: Eukaryota; Metazoa; Chordata; Aves; Apterygiformes; Apterygidae.
GGGGUGUGCGUGUGUGUGCAUGUGUGUGCUGUGUUAUAUGCAGGCGUGUGCAUGUGUGCACCAGAGUGUGUGUGUGUGCAAAUGCAUGAUGGGGUGUGCGUGUGUGUGUGCAUGGGCAUGUGUGCACUGGAGUGUCUGUGCAUGCAUGCAUGUGUAUAUGUGUGCUGGGGUGGGAGCAUGUGUGUGCUGUGUUUUGUAUGUGCCUGUGUCCGCUGGGGUGUGCAUGUUCGUGAGCAUGUGUGCACUGGCAUGUGCAUUUGCUGCAUGUGUCUGCUGGGCUGUGCGUGUGCUUGUGCAUACUGGGGCGUGAGCCUGCAUGUGCAUGUGCACAUGUGUGCUAGGGUGCACAUGUGUGCUGGUGCGUGCGUGUGCCUGUACAUGUGUGCAUUGCAGCGUAUGCUUUCAUGUGCAUGUGUGUGCUGGGGUGCACAUGUGCGCAGGGGUGUGCACGUGCAUACGUAUGUGGAUGUGUGCACCGUGUACGUAUGUGCAUGCACGUGUGCACUGGGGGGGUGUGGGAUGCGAGCAGGCAUGUCUAUAUGUGCAUAGGGGUGUGCAUGUAUGCACUGGCAUGCGUGUGUGCACAUGCGUGUGUGCACAGAGGGGGCCGUGCACAUGCCUGUGUGCGCUGGAGUGUGUGUGUGUGCAUGUGCACAUAAGCACAUGCACAGGGGUGGGUGUGUGCAUGAGCAGGUACAUGGACGUGUGCGCUGGGGUGCGGGACUACGUGCGAACUGGUGUUUGUGCACGUGCAUUGGUGUGGGGGGGGGCUGGGCACGUGCGUGUGUGCCUGGGGGGCGGUGCACGGGCACACGCGUUGCGCGUGGGGCCGCCGGGGCGGCGUGCGGGGCUCGGCGCGCUCCCUGGGUGCACCGGGGACCCCUGCCUCCCUCCGCUCCUGCGGAGGGGGAACACGAUGUCAUCGGGGUUCUGACAUCAUCAUAGCCGCUCCUUCUGACGUCAGCCCGGUUCUGCUCCCGGCUUCCGCGCCGGGGCGCGCCGCAGGGCGCAGCGGCACCUCGAGGUGCUGCCCGCCGAGCGCUGCCCGGAGCCCCCGGGCUCCCCGGCACGGGGCGGGAGCCAGAAACGCCCGCCGGCCCCCGCGACGCACCCCGGGGCCGGCGCCCCGCCGCUGCCCGCAGCCGCUCGGGAUUUUACCGGGCUCUUUUCUCCCCUUUCAGACCCCACGGGGCGGAAACCUGCCCCCCGGGGCGCCGCCGCGCAGCCGCCGCCGGUGCCCGUCCCGCCGCCGGGGAUGCUGCGGGAAGGCGCCGGAGAGGAGGCGCGGGUGACCAGGUGCGGAGCCGCCGGCGGGCUCUUUCCCCGGCUAGCGGGGGGCUAAGGCGGCCCGUCUCCCCCUGCCCGGGCCCAGGCCCGCGUCCGGCGGGGCGACCCCGGCGCCAGCCCCCCGCGCGUCGCGACCUGCUGCAGCCCGAAAGCGAGAGGCGGCAGCGGCGGCGGCUGAAGGUCGAGCGCCCCGAAGGGUGGUUUAAAGCCGGGGGGGGGGGUGUCCUCGGUUGGGUGCGAUGCCUUCGCCGCCCCCUUUGCCUGGCCGGGCCCCCCAGUCCCUGCCGGCGAAUUUGUGCCUCGCAGGAGCUCGCCGAGGGCCUGGCUUCGCCGGCGGAGCAGGCGCAGGUCUGCGCGGCGCAGGUGAGGGGACGGCGGAGCAUCGCGGGGGGCGGCGAGACCCCGGUCGCGCUGCCCCGCUCUGCAGCCGGGACAGGGAGGAGGGAAGGGCUUCGCCCGCUGCCGCCCCGGCCGGGCGCCCCGGCCCGGGCUUUGCUCUUUGCACCGGCCCCGCGGCUCCCUCCUGCCGCGCUCCGACCCCCCUCUUGCAGGCUCUGCCCCCCAGGCCCUCGGCUGCCUCGGGAGCACGGAGGAGCCCGUCCUGGCCGCUCUCCUGAGCACGUACGUAGCGCUGGCGGCAGCACCGGGCCCCGACGUGCUUUCGGGGCGGUUCCGCCUGCUUGGUGCCGGCGGAGACCCCGGGGUGCGGGAUCAGCCCGCAGCUGGGUUACGGGGGGAAGGGGGCGGUGCGGGGGGCGGCAGCAGAGCCGCCGGGUGCCGGGCGCUUGGGUGCCGCCGGGCUCUGCCGGUUGGUUUCUGUUCCAGCUGCGCGGAUGCAGCAGAGCGCCGGUGCGGUACGAAGUCACCCGGGGCCUCGUCCGCCUGGGCUGCCUGGAGGCGGCGGUGGCGGAGGAGCUGCUCGGGCGCCUGCGGGACGGAGGCCCCGCGCAGAGCGCGGACUUGCUGCUGGCGCUCGGCGGCGCCCUGCGCGCCCGCGCCGACGCUGCCAACCUGCUGCGGCUGCCGGGGCGCGAGUGCCUCGGCCCGGA